AACGAACGCUGGCGGCAUGCCUAACACAUGCAAGUCGAACGAGACCUUCGGGUCUAGUGGCGCACGGGUGCGUAACGCGUGGGAACCUGCCCUUAGGUUCGGAAUAACUCCCCGAAAGGGGUGCUAAUACCGGAUAAUGUCUUCGGACCAAAGAUUUAUCGCCUUUGGAUGGGCCCGCGUUGGAUUAGCUAGUUGGUAGGGUAAAAGCCUACCAAGGCGACGAUCCAUAGCUGGUCUGAGAGGAUGAUCAGCCACACUGGGACUGAGACACGGCCCAGACUCCUACGGGAAGCAGCAGUGGGGAAUAGUGGACAAGGGGGGAAGGCCUGAUCCAGCAAUGCCGCGUGAGUGAUGAAGGCCGUAGGGUUGUAAAGCUCCUUUACCCGGGAUGAUAAUGACGGUACCGGGUGAAUAAGCUCCGGCUAACUCCGUG
RNAcentral lists this ribosomal RNA (433 nucleotides) under uncultured bacterium. Its description in RNAcentral is "partial 16S ribosomal RNA". It matches the Rfam family "Bacterial small subunit ribosomal RNA", at positions 29 to 507 of the family's 1533-position model. The record is from RNAcentral.